Long non-coding RNA from Meriones unguiculatus (Mongolian gerbil), 1856 nucleotides. RefSeq lists it as uncharacterized. Lineage: Eukaryota; Metazoa; Chordata; Mammalia; Rodentia; Muridae. The record is from RefSeq and is a predicted model, not a curated record. The transcript is spliced from 3 exons.
AGCUGUGGGUAUUUCUCUUGAUGAGAUGCUUUCUGCAGCUGCUGCCAAGAGGAAGGCUGUCCAUCUGCUGAGGACUUGCCGUGGGGUUUCCUGGUGCAGCCCUUCCCAAACUCCAACACAGGCGCUCCUUCCACCAUGUCCCCAGGCUCAGAGACAUCACAGAGCAUCACCUUGCACCCGCAGGCAGCGGCCCUAUCGCACAGAUCAGAGGGACAGGAGGUUUCUCACAGAAUGAAGAUGAUGCAGCCACGUUCACAUGUCCACAUGAAGCAUAUACCAUGGUGGCCAUCACUACCUUCCCCAGAAUAUUAAAGCCAAAUAAUAUUCAAAUGUUCUGACAGUGUCACUCAUGUGAGCCGGAUGCCCAAUGUUCCCUGACCCUUCAAUUUUUCCUCGUGGCUCACUUGAAGAGCAUGGGCUGCUUUGAGAUCAAAGAAAAUGCUGCCACUAUUUCAACCUUGGCUUGAUCCCCAAUCACACCUUUUCAAAGAAAAACCCUAAUCAUCCUACUCUCUAGAAGUGAUGAGAAUGAACAUGACUAGGUGGUGGUUUGUUUGCUCUCAGCCUCUCUUCACCUAUUGACGCAUAGCACAAAAGCCAGAAUGCUCAAAGGAGGACACUGUGUGAGCGCGGCAAUUUUCAGUUCACUUUCAAGCUUGAGUGUGGCAAUGGCCAUACUUACACAGAGGUGAGUGCGUGAGGAAUCCCCGAGUACUUCCUUUAAGAACAGCCUCAAGGGGCUGGCGAGACGGGCUCUGCGGGAGAAGGCACCUGACCGCCACCUGAGUUUGAUCCCUGAGAUCCACAGUGGGAGGAAAGAACCAACUCUCUCAAGUUGUGCGACCUCCACACAUUCCCCGUGACACACACACACACACAAACACGAACAAAUUUGUAAUAAAAAUUUAAGGAAAUAUUCUCAAGAAAGACCUAAUUCAGUAGAAGACAUUCCAAAUGACAUCUGGAUGAUAAUUGUUUCUAAGUUUAUCAUGAAAAAAAGUGUACUUACUUUUUAUUUUGGUGAGAGAAUAAAUGAAGAAAGUAAAAGCAAAGCUGACUGUGUGGGGUUGCAGCGCUUAUGUCGAGCUGACAGUGCUUGACUUCCAGCUGGGGAGAUGAUUCUGCACAUCACGGACUCACUGAGGAAGCUUGUGGGUCAGAGCUGAGGCCCCAAGAGCCCACACAAACACCGGUGGGUGCCGUGGCUCACCUGUAACUCCAGUCUCACAAGGUGGAGGCAGCAUCUCCAGAGCAAGCUCGCAAGCAUAAGAAGCCACAGCUGUGAGCUUGGGCUUUGACUGAGAGAUCCUGCAUCAAAAAACAAGGUGGAAGAGCAAUCCAGGAUGAUUCCUGGAAUCAAUCCCCAGCCGCCCCCCCUCCACACAGGUGCACAUGGGCAGUCAAGGUCACAUAUGUUCAUAUGUAUGCAUAGAUGUAGAUGCCCUCCAUGCUCACAAAGGAAAAACAUCUUAAAGGUUAGCAUUGCUCACGAGGAGCCAGUCUUCAGGCAAGGUGGCAGAAACAGCAUUAAUUCUCAAUGUGUUCAUUCAUUUCAACUUCUGAAAAUGUCUGCCGCCUUUGUUAUAGGCUAAACUUUGUUUUGUCCAUAAAAGAUAUGUUGAAGCAACAGAACAAGAAAAUUUGAACACAGGGAACUUCCCAGAGACUCAUACUCCAACCAUGGACUAUUAAUGGAGAUAACCUAGAACCCUGACAAUGCAGCCACUUCUGAUGAGAACUGAUAGACUAAGAUCAGAAAGAAGGAGAGGAGGACCUCCCCUAUCAGUGGACUUGGGGAGGGGCAUGCAGAAAGUCGAGGGGAGGGUGGGGCCGGGAGGGGAGGAAGGAAGGGCUUA